GACAGGGUUGGAGGAGUUCAAUAUCAGGACCUGUCAUUGUACAAUACAAUGCAACCGACAUCAUGUAGGUGUUUACAGGCCUCAGGUGUAGGUGCAAAAUAUGUCAAGAUGAUCUUCUUGUCCUGCAGACAGUGAAGCCAAACGGAGUGAAGGCCAGGAAGGCAGGGUUCCCUGACACAUCCUGACACAGACACAACACAAGUAUUGAAUCCAUGGUCUAUGUUGUUGUACAGAUGUCGGAUCUUAACUUGAUCACUCUUUUGUCGCAGAGAAUUUUCCUGCUACAUCAGGAAAUUCAAAUGAGCCUUGUGAGUCCCUGAAAAAUAGCAGUUGAGUCAAUGGGAUCAGGACAUGCUAUCAAAAUUAUUUUCUCACUCGCUCAAACGCUAGGUCUAGGUCCUAUUACUGCAACAUUCAAAUGUACCAAAAUGUAUUUGAAAUGCAACCAUACACAUCAACAACCAACAUUUUAUAUAGCUUAACAACACAAGAUAGAUAUUGGUCUCCACUAGGCUACGACAUACAGUACAAGAGUCAACUAUAUCCUAAGCUUAUGAAUGAACUGUCAAAAUUGAGUUAAAUCGCAGGCUGCGUCCAUUUAUUAUAAUCCACACCAGACACGCUGUAGCCGGCACGUAGCCUACAUAAGGUACCCUGUAGGUAAGGUACUGUGUUGUAUACAAACACAGCUUCCAGCUGUCCCCUGGCGGCGGUUUUAAAUAUUUAUUCAUUAUUCAAAUCCUCCUGCUGCAGGAUUAUUUUCCUCCUGCGACAAAAGGUGUCAAAUUAAGAUCCGACAUCUGUAUGUAAUUUACAACUGGCCUCACAAACAGAAUAGCAAAAAAACAAAAAAACAUAUUGUAUUAAACGAGGUUCAGGCUGUACUGGAAUCAAUAGAGAGCUAAAAGCACUCUGCCAGUGCAGAGCUAAAAUGGACCCUUCUCUUAUCAAGGUGUUUGUACCUUGCAGGGGUGAGGGUCCACACCAUACGUCUCCAGCUCCUGGGCCUUCUGCAGGAAGUUCAGCUCGGACUCUUCUGGAGUCUGUCCUCUGGGAGAUGAGGACACAACAGACAGAUUACUGUGGGCUGUGUGGUGAUGGAUGGAAAAGGUUCCAGCGGUGAGCUAAUGAUUUGUAAAGUGAAUUUCCUUUCAUUCAUUUCAGUGAGUGAAAGAUGAGAGAGAACAACACUAGAGGGCAGCAGAGGUAAGAUCCCAUAGGUGGUCUACAGUAGUAGAGUCUGUAUAUAUGGAUACUGCAUAUACUGUGAAGGGGGAGGGGAGAGAGAGAGCCUCUUGAGGGUGAUGUGAUGUUCAGCUGACUGGCAGAGUUGUCCCAGGUUGCC
Oncorhynchus gorbuscha (pink salmon) is the source of this 1345-nucleotide long non-coding RNA. RefSeq lists it as uncharacterized. The transcript is spliced from 3 exons. The record is from RefSeq and is a predicted model, not a curated record. NCBI's taxonomy places the organism in Eukaryota, Metazoa, Chordata, Actinopteri, Salmoniformes, Salmonidae.